UUUUUAUUUAUUUUAUUUUUUUAUUUAUUUAUUUAUUUUUGAGAUAGGGUCUUGCUAAGUUACCCAGGCUGGCCUCAAACUUGGGAUUUUCCCGCAAUAGCCUCCUGAGUGUCUGGUAUUACAGCUGGGUGCCAUUAGCCCAGCUUAUUAGUAAUUUUUCAGUGAAGUCAGUUAACACAAAAUGAGUGGAAAUAGCCCUGAACCCAUGCAAAGUUAUGUUUUAAAACUUUAGAAAUUAAUUAACUUGAACCUCCAAAUGUAUUCUCUGAAGUGUUAUAAAUGGUGAUUAUGUAGCUAAACUAGUUGACAAAAAUCUGUUGAAGGUUACUAUAUAGUAUUGGUUGAGCUCAACUGUUAAGUCCUAGGGGUGAGAUAAACAUGAAGGAAGGCAGUGUCUUCCCCUUGGCUUAGUGAGAGACUAACUUUACCAAGGCAAUGUUUUCAAAAGGCAGUUUGUCUUGGAAUGCCCUCCCUCCAUCUUUACAUGGAGACCCUUUACUUCAAGUCCUCAAGUAUCAAGUCAUACUACCCUCAACUCCUUUGUGGUCUUCUCCUCAGGCUUUCUUCUCUGCAGCUCAAAUUAUUCUAGGCUUGGAAAUUACCUAUGUGCUGGAGAUGGAACCCAAGUCCUCCAGCACACUCAGAACACACUGUACCGCUGAGCUACAUCCCAGUUACACUUCUUUUUGUUUAAAUAAAAUGUCCAUUUUCUUAAUAUUGCUCAUCUCAAUAUAUUUGACCCUACAUUGUCCUAAAGUGUGAGCAAUAACUGCUGACACCACUCCCCCGACUCUACUGGAAUUUUUUUUUAAAUAAAGUACUCAAAGCAAUGAUCCAGUUGAUAAGAUUCAAAAAUAAAAGGGGAGGACUGGGG
Molecule: long non-coding RNA, 874 nt
Filed under: Marmota monax (woodchuck)
Lineage: Eukaryota; Metazoa; Chordata; Mammalia; Rodentia; Sciuridae
Source: RNAcentral